ACACUGUACGAGUUUGAUCCUGGCUCAGGAUGAACGCUAGCGGCAGGCCUAACACAUGCAAGUCGAGGGGUAUAGUUCUUCGGAACUAGAGACCGGCGCACGGGUGCGUAACGCGUAUGCAAUCUACCUUUUACAGGGGAAUAGCCCAGAGAAAUUUGGAUUAAUGCCCCAUAGUGUUAUAGAAUCGCAUGGUUUAUAACUAAAGUUCCAACGGUAAAAGAUGAGCAUGCGUCCCAUUAGUUAGUUGGUAAGGUAACGGCUUACCAAGACAAUGAUGGGUAGGGGUCCUGAGAGGGAGAUCCCCCACACUGGUACUGAGACACGGACCAGACUCCUACGGGAGGCAGCAGUGAGGAAUAUUGGACAAUGGGCGCAAGCCUGAUCCAGCCAUACCGCGUGCAGGAAGACGGUCCUAUGGAUUGUAAACUGCUUUUGUACAGGAAGAAACACUCCCUCGUGAGGGAGCUUGACGGUACUGUAAGAAUAAGGAUCGGCUAACUCCGUG
RNAcentral lists this ribosomal RNA (505 nucleotides) under uncultured bacterium. RNAcentral describes it as "bacterial SSU rRNA". It matches the Rfam family "Bacterial small subunit ribosomal RNA", at positions 1 to 507 of the family's 1533-position model. The record is from RNAcentral.